CAACCUGAUGAGAAUAAUUUGCGAUUGAUUCCUUGUUGAUGGCCACAUCGCCUGUGAGCUAUAUCUCCUGGAUACAUGAAAGUCCAUUCUUACAUAUUCUGAAU
Molecule: small nucleolar RNA, 104 nt
Filed under: Sporothrix schenckii ATCC 58251
Lineage: Eukaryota; Fungi; Ascomycota; Sordariomycetes; Ophiostomatales; Ophiostomataceae
Description: A. fumigatus snoRNA Afu_514
Rfam family: A. fumigatus snoRNA Afu_514
Source: Rfam by way of RNAcentral